UACGUAGGGUGCAAGCGUUGUCCGGAAUUAUUGGCGUAAAGAGCUCGUAGGCGGUUUGUCGCGUCUGCUGUGAAAACUCGGGCUUAACCCCGGGCUGCAGUGGGUACGGGCAGACUAGAGUGCGGUAGGGAGACUGGAAUUCCUGGUGUAGCGGUGAAAUGCGCAGAUAUCAGGAGGAACACCGGUGGCGAAGGCGGGUCUCUGGGCCGUAACUGACGCUGAGGAGCGAAAGCGUGGGGAGCGAACAGG
This 249-nucleotide ribosomal RNA is filed under the name uncultured bacterium. RNAcentral's name for it is "partial 16S ribosomal RNA". It matches the Rfam family "Bacterial small subunit ribosomal RNA", at positions 524 to 776 of the family's 1533-position model. The record is from RNAcentral.